RNAcentral lists this ribosomal RNA (494 nucleotides) under uncultured bacterium. Its description in RNAcentral is "partial 16S ribosomal RNA". It matches the Rfam family "Bacterial small subunit ribosomal RNA", at positions 28 to 507 of the family's 1533-position model. The record is from RNAcentral.
GACGAACGCUGGCGGCGUGCUUAACACAUGCAAGUCGAACGGUGAAGCGCCUUCCUUUUUGGUGGGUGUGGAUGAGUGGCGAACGGGUGAGUAACACGUGAGUAACCUGCCCCCUUCUUCUGGAUAACCGCAUGAAAGUGUGGCUAAUACGGGAUAUUCUGGGUCUGUCGCAUGAUGGGUCUGGGAAAGAUAUUGUUUCGGUGGGGGAUGGGCUCGCGGCCUAUCAGCUUGUUGGUGGGGUGAUGGCCUACCAAGGCGGUGACGGGUAGCCGGCCUGAGAGGGUGGACGGUCACACUGGGACUGAGGCACGGCCCAGACUCCUACGGGAGGCAGCAGUGGGGAGUAUUGCACAAUGGGCGCAAGCCUGAUGCAGCGACGCCGCGUGAGGGAUGGAGGCCUGCGGGUUGUGAACCUCUUUCGCCAGUGAAGCAGGCCUGCCUCGUUUGUGGGUGGGUUGACGGUAGCUGGAUAAGAAGCGCCGGCUAACUACGUG